This 489-nucleotide ribosomal RNA is filed under the name uncultured bacterium. RNAcentral describes it as "partial 16S ribosomal RNA". It matches the Rfam family "Bacterial small subunit ribosomal RNA", at positions 30 to 507 of the family's 1533-position model. The record is from RNAcentral.
UUGAACGCUGGCGGCAUGCUUUACACAUGCAAGUCGGACGGCAGCACAGAGAAGCUUGCUUCUUGGGUGGCGAGUGGCGAACGGGUGAGUAAUAUAUCGGAACGUACCGAGUAAUGGGGGAUAACUAAUCGAAAGAUUAGCUAAUACCGCAUAUUCUCUGAGGAGGAAAGCAGGGGACCUUCGGGCCUUGCGUUAUUCGAGCGGCCGAUAUCUGAUUAGCUAGUUGGUGGGGUAAAGGCCUACCAAGGCGACGAUCAGUAGCGGGUCUGAGAGGAUGAUCCGCCACACUGGGACUGAGACACGGCCCAGACUCCUACGGGAGGCAGCAGUGGGGAAUUUUGGACAAUGGGCGCAAGCCUGAUCCAGCCAUGCCGCGUGUCUGAAGAGGGCCUUCGGGUUGUAAAGGACUUUUGUCAGGGAAGAAAAGGCUGUUGCUAAUACCGACAGCUGAUGACGGUACCUGAAGAAUAAGCACCGGCUAACUACGUG